RNA transcript from Panicum virgatum (switchgrass), 3018 nucleotides. It is a transcript of the gene named CRM-domain containing factor CFM3, chloroplastic/mitochondrial-like, with no coding region annotated. The record is from RefSeq and is a predicted model, not a curated record. Lineage: Eukaryota; Viridiplantae; Streptophyta; Magnoliopsida; Poales; Poaceae. The transcript has 10 exons.
AAAACCCCACACGCUCUCACCCAAUCCAUGGCGCCACCGCGCUAAACCCCCCCAACCUCCGCUCCGCCCUCCGCUCCCCGCCUCCAUGGCGCUCUCCGAGCUCCCGCUCCACCACUCCUUCCGCCUCUCCUCCAGGCCCCACCUCCACCGCCUUCUCCCGCUCCGCCUCCUCUACUCCUCCCGCCACGCCUCCUCCUCCUCCUCCGCCGCCUCGGCCUCCUCCCCCUCUUCGUCCAGCGGCAACCGCGCGGCCCCACCCGCCCCCAGUACCGGCGCGCCGUGGCUGCAGAAGUGGGCGCCGUCCGACCCCUCCCAGCGCGCCCCCGCUCCCGCCCCGUCCCCCACCACCUCCAUCGACCGCAUCGUCCACCGCCUCCGUAACCUCGGCCUCACCUCCGACGACGACGAGCCCUCAGCCUCCGCUUCCACGGCGACCGCGCCCCCCGACGGCACUGAGCGCCUCGGCGACCUGCUCGACCGCAGCUGGGCGCGGCCCGACCGCCAGUUCGCGGCCGCCAGCUUCGACGACGCGGUCCUCCCGUGGGAGAGGGACGAGGAGGCCGCGGCGGGGAGCAGGGACGAGGAGGAUGAGGCCAAGAGGAGGCGGGUCAAGGCGCCCACGCUGGCCGAGCUCACGAUCGAGGACGAGGAGCUGCGGCGGCUGCGCAGGCUGGGGAUGACUCUCCGCGACCGCAUCACCGUGCCCAAGGCCGGGGUCACCACGGCCAUCACGGAGAAGAUCCAUGACGCGUGGAGGAAGUCGGAGCUGGUCCGCCUCAAGUUCCACGAGGACCUCGCGCACGACAUGAAGACUGCUCAUGAGCUCGUUGAGCGACGCACCGGCGGAUUGAUCAUAUGGAGAUCUGGAAGUGUCAUGGUGGUUUACCGAGGGAGCAAUUACAAAAGGUCUCUGAAAUCUCAAACUCUGAAUGGUGCCUCAACACCAGUAAAGGGGGAAGAUGGUACAUUGUUCAUCCCAGAUGCCUCCAGCCCUGCUGAGAAUGACAGUCAGGGGAAGGAUUUGGCUGCGCAACGUGCAGACGUGUCCCAAUUGAACAUGCAGAAUACUGAGGACAUGACAGAGGAAGAGCAGGAAUUCAAUCAAAUGCUUGAUGAGUUGGGUCCUCGAUUUGUUGAUUGGUGGGGAACAGGUAUCUUGCCAGUUGAUGCUGACUUGCUGCCUCAAACGAUCCCUGGGUAUAAAACACCUCAUAGAGUUCUUCCAACUGGAAUGCGUUCAACACUUACCAAUGCAGAGCUGACUAACUUGCGAAAGUUAGCAAGGAACCUUCCAUGCCAUUUUGCUCUAGGGAGAAACCGGAAUCAUCAAGGCUUGGCAGCGGCAAUUGUUAAGCUCUGGGAGAAGAGUUUGGUGGUGAAAAUAGCUGUCAAACGUGGAAUACAGAACACAAAUAAUAAGCUAAUGGCAGAAGAAAUAAAGAAUCUAACAGGGGGUACCCUGCUUCUUCGAAAUAAAUUUUACAUUGUAAUAUAUCGUGGAAAAGACUUCCUCCCAACAUCUGUUGCAGCUGUGUUGGCUGAAAGAGAGGAGUUGACAAAGGAUAUCCAGAAUAUGGAGGAGCAGAGAAGAAACAUUUUGAUUGCACAACCUCCAGAUGAUGGUUUAGAUGGGCAUGCUCUUGUGGGUACUCUUACUGAAUUUCAGGAGGCCCAAGCUCGUUGGGGGAGAGAAGUAAGUGCUAAGGAGCAAGAAGAAAUGAAAGAAGCAUCUUCCAGAUCAGAAAAGCAAAAGCUUUACAGGAAACUCGAACACAAGCUUUCCAUUGCUCAGGCAAAAAUACAUAGAGCAGAACGCUUGCUAUCAAAGAUUGAAGCUUCUAUGGUACUCGCCAAUCCAUGUGAUGAUCAGGAAAUGAUUACAGAUGAGGAAAAGUCUGUUUUCCGUAGGAUUGGUCUACGGCUUAAGUCAUAUUUGCCACUUGGAGUUCGUGGUGUUUUUGAUGGUGUCAUUGAAAAUAUGCACUUGCAUUGGAAGCACAGGGAAGUUGUCAAAUUAAUUUCAAAGCAGAAGACCUUGUCUUUUGUUCAGGAGACAUCACAGCUUCUAGAGUAUGAAAGUGGCGGUAUACUAGUUGCAAUUGAAAGAGUUCCCAAGGGUUAUGCACUUAUAUUUUACCGUGGAAAGAACUAUAGGAGGCCUAUUAACAUAAGGCCUAGAAAUCUCUUAACAAAAGCUAAGGCAUUGAAACGUGCAGUUGCAAUGCAACGUCAUGAGGCCCUCAGUCAGCAUAUAGAUCAACUGGAAAGCAAUAUCAAGCAGAUGAAGCUGGAUUUGGGUAUCGAGGACUAUGAGGAACAAGAGGAGGAUAGCUCAGAUUCAGAAAAUGAAGAUGGGACAGACGUUACCUCUGCAAGCUACGAUGAGGACCAAGACAAUUUUGAUGAAUCAGCUGAUGAAUAUGAUGAUUACGAUGAUGAUGAAGAUGGGGAGGUUGACCGCUAGUAGUACGGAAUUGUUUCUUGUGAUUUGCAGUUCUGAAGUAAUGAUUUUCUGUAUGUGAUACUGCUGUCCUUCGGACAUCCGUGGUAAGGGAAACACAGUUGCUUCUUCAGAGCACUAUUAAGUUUGUGCAACAUACGCCAGAGCCAUAUGUGGAGCCAAGUUUUACGGAUGGCCCUUGAUGACUGGUACCACAGCUCCUGCAUUUGAUGUAUGUACUCCAUUGCUUCGUUCUUGGCAGAAUUGGUGUUGAGAUCCACCUUAGAAGUGCUGCGACUGAGCUGGGAAAUUUCAUGCACCAUGUGAUUUAUGAGAUCUAUGCUCACAGCAUCAUCUUUUCUCUCUCGUUUCCUUUUGCCUUUCUUCUGUUGUGACUACAUCUUAGAGGGCUCGGCGUAGGAGGUAUUUUUCUUUCUCCAAUUUCUCUCCAGAAGAUAUACCUGGACUGCUCGACUGGACACAAGCAUUGUGUAACUCAGUCCGGCUGAAACCAAAUACACUAGAACAGCUUAAAUUUUGAUCAAGAAGUGGCUGAAGGGUGUUCCACUGUUCAAACU